This 497-nucleotide ribosomal RNA is filed under the name uncultured bacterium. Its description in RNAcentral is "partial 16S ribosomal RNA". It matches the Rfam family "Bacterial small subunit ribosomal RNA", at positions 28 to 507 of the family's 1533-position model. The record is from RNAcentral.
GAUGAACGCUGGCGGCGUGCCUAAUACAUGCAAGUCGAGCGAACGGACGAGAAGCUUGCCUUUCUGAUGUUAGCGGCGGACGGGUGAGCAACACGUGGAUAACCUACCUAUAAGACUGGGAUAACUUCGGGAAACCGGAGCUAAUACCGGAUAAUAUUUUGAACCGCAUGGUUCAAAAGUGAAAGACGGUCUUGCUGUCACUUAUAGAUGGAUCCGCGCUGCAUUAGCUAGUUGGUAAGGUAACGGCUUACCAAGGCAACGAUGCAUAGCCGACCUGAGAGGGUGAUCGGCCACACUGGAACUGAGACACGGUCCAGACUCCUACGGGAGGCAGCAGUAGGGAAUCUUCCGCAAUGGGCGAAAGCCUGACGGAGCAACGCCGCGUGAGUGAUGAAGGUCUUCGGAUCGUAAAACUCUGUUAUUAGGGAAGAACAUAUGUGUAAGUAACUGUGCACAUCUUGACGGUACCUAAUCAGAAAGCCACGGCUAACUACGUG